UACGUAGGGGGCAAGCGUUGUCCGGAUUCAUUGGGCGUAAAGAGCGUGUAGGCGGCCAGAUAGGUCAGCUGUGAAAACUCGGGGCUCAACCCUGAGACGUCGGUUGAAACCAUCUGGCUAGAGUCCGGAAGAGGAGAGUGGAAUUCCUGGUGUAGCGGUGAAAUGCGCAGAUAUCAGGAAGAACACCCGUGGCGAAAGCGGCUCUCUGGAACGGUACUGACGCUGAGACGCGAAAGCGUGGGGAGCGAACAGG
This 253-nucleotide ribosomal RNA is filed under the name uncultured bacterium. Its description in RNAcentral is "partial 16S ribosomal RNA". It matches the Rfam family "Bacterial small subunit ribosomal RNA", at positions 524 to 776 of the family's 1533-position model. The record is from RNAcentral.